CACUCAUUGAGUGGUUCUAUCACAGGGGGAGAAGGGCAAGAGUAUCGUUGAUAGGAUUUGAUGCAGCUGUGUGCCUUCAUUAAUUAAUAACCAUGGGAAGAAGAGCAAAGGGGAGAGUGGAUACCACAAGACUUAUCUUCAAAUCUGGAUUUUGGAGCGCCAUUAGAACUUGACCACUAAUUUCAAACUACAGCCUUUUAAAGUUCUGAAGUUUGAGGGAACCAGAAGUGGAAGUGUCAAAACUCUCACCAGGAAGCCUGUUACGAGAUGUUCUACCCAAGCUGGCAACCUCAGGUUCCCACUUAUUCUUGAAGUUAUUCUGUCUGAAACUUUCUGUCUGAAACUUUCCCUUCAUUGACAAUUCAACAUCUCUGCACUACAAUCAUCUUCCCUGAUCUACAUUCAACAAACAAAGAAAAGGAACCCAGGCAGAAGAGUAAAGUGAACAGAAAAGAAGGACCAGAUGGUGUGUAUUUAGGG
Lutra lutra (Eurasian river otter) is the source of this 480-nucleotide long non-coding RNA. RefSeq lists it as uncharacterized. NCBI's taxonomy places the organism in Eukaryota, Metazoa, Chordata, Mammalia, Carnivora, Mustelidae. The transcript is spliced from 5 exons. The record is from RefSeq and is a predicted model, not a curated record.